This 497-nucleotide ribosomal RNA is filed under the name uncultured bacterium. RNAcentral describes it as "partial 16S ribosomal RNA". It matches the Rfam family "Bacterial small subunit ribosomal RNA", at positions 28 to 507 of the family's 1533-position model. The record is from RNAcentral.
GAUGAACGCUGGCGGCGUGCCUAAUACAUGCAAGUCGAGCGAACGGACGAGAAGCUUGCUUCUCUGAUGUUAGCGGCGGACGGGUGAGUAACACGUGGAUAACCUACCUAUAAGACUGGGAUAACUUCGGGAAACCGGAGCUAAUACCGGAUAAUUUUUUGAACCGCAUGGUUCAAAAGUGAAAGACGGUCUUGCUGUCCCUUAUAGAUGGAUCCGCGCUGCAUUAGCUAGUUGGUAAGGUAACGGCUUACCAAGGCAACGAUGCAUAGCCGACCUGAGAGGGUGAUCGGCCACACUGGAACUGAGACACGGUCCAGACUCCUACGGGAGGCAGCAGUAGGGAAUCUUCCGCAAUGGGCGAAAGCCUGACGGAGCAACGCCGCGUGAGUGAUGAAGGUCUUCGGAUCGUAAAACUCUGUUAUUAGGGAAGAACAUAUGUGUAAGUAACUGUGCACAUCUUGACGGUACCUAAUCAGAAAGCCACGGCUAACUACGUG